UACGUAGGGGGCAAGCAUUGUCCGGAUUUACUGGGCGUAAAGCGCGUGCAGGCGGUCUGUUAAGUUCGGGGUGAAAGCUCCCGGCUCAACCGGGAGAGGUCCUUGGAUACUGGCAGACUUGAGGGAGGUAGAGGAGAGUGGAAUUCCCGGUGUAGUGGUGAUAUGCGUAGAUAUCGGGAGGAACACCGGUGGCGAAGGCGGCUCUCUGGGCCGUUCCUGACGCUGAGGCGCGAAAGCGUGGGGAGCGAACGGG
Molecule: ribosomal RNA, 253 nt
Filed under: uncultured bacterium
Lineage: Bacteria
Description: partial 16S ribosomal RNA
Rfam family: Bacterial small subunit ribosomal RNA
Source: RNAcentral